RNAcentral lists this long non-coding RNA (2725 nucleotides) under Sus scrofa (pig). Its description in RNAcentral is "lncRNA (ENSSSCG00040002317.1)". The record is from RNAcentral. Lineage: Eukaryota; Metazoa; Chordata; Mammalia; Artiodactyla; Suidae.
GGACCCAACAGGCACAUCUGUACAUACUUACACAGACACAACACACAUACACUUUAUCCAGCUUGUUAAUAGUUAACAUUUUAUAGCAAAUGAUUUAAAAAUAUCAUAAGCCUAUUUUGAAAAACAUGGAAAAUACACAAAAAUUAAAUAGCAGGAGAAAAAAUCAUCUAAUCCUACCAUUUAAAGUUACCACUGUCAACAUGUGUAAACUAUUUUCUUACGCUCAAGUUGUUCUGUGUUUUAAAAUAGUUUUUUAACAACUCUCCCUAGAUAGCUUUUUAUGCCAUUUUGGCUUUUUACUCAGUAUUAAAGCAAAGUCAUUAUUUCAUCCUAUGUCAUAGCCAACAUCCUGGUUCCUUACUUUUCUAUUCUGGAUCUCGCUCUGGAACUGCCAAUUUUUGUCUUUCUAUUCAGAAAGCUUAACACAUGUUCUCAUCUUAGUGUGAGACAACUCCCAGGCUCCAGAGGGAGAAAAGGGAACUGCUCCCAUGUUAUACAAGGCGUGUAGUAAAUAAUUCUCUCCAACAAAGGCAGUGCCCUUCCUAAGAGAAAUUGUGGGCAUAUCAAUCUUCCUAUCUCAUUAUUCUUAAAAGAAAAAAAAUAUGCGCCUUAACUUGUAUGCUACUUAACUGAGACCUACAGUCAUAAAUUCAUUUUAAGUAAGACUCAACAUGCAGUAAAUGGUCAAAAAUACAUUAUGGAGCACAGUCCAAGGUCAAUUCCAGUUCAAAUAAACAUGGGCAACACACAUAUUGAUAAUUUUUUAACCUCAAAAUAAUUGAAUUUUGAUCCUGAGCUAAAACAUUGCACGCUCUGAUGGGCUGGAUAUGCGUCUGUUCAGAUCACCAUGGUGGUCACAUUUAGGACCCAAGUCCUAAGAAAACCCCUCCACUAAAAGGUGCCUUCCUUACCUCCGAGGAAGCAGCUGAAGGUUGGCAUUGCUAGAUCGGAUCCCUGAGCUCCUGUCUGUGAAUCCAAAUGUCCUCAAAGGCACCUUCUGACCCUGAUGACAGGUGUCUUAGUCACAUCUACCAUGGAGAUUUAAAUCGCAAAUUAAUUUCCUAUGUUUGGCUUGCAGCUUGUUUGUUCUUUAGUUCCUUUAUUAUAGCAGGUCUGUUCUGUCAAGGCUAUGUGAUAAAUAUGCUUUUUGCCCAGCCCAAUAAUCUUUAUCACCAACAAAGACGAUAAUUUAUUUCACACUUCAUUACAGCUAUCAUUUAGUGAAUUAUUUUCAAUGUUCAUCUUAAAGUAUCAGUAGAUAUUUAUAAACACACGCAGGGUGUAAGAAUAUCGCCUUCUUUUUUUUUCCUCAGCAGACUAUCUGAUAUUUCCUAGCUAAUGAGAGAUUAAAUGAGAAACCUGAUCACUGCAUGGAUCAUCUCUGCCUGUAAAGUAUUGUUGAUAUUCUCCAUUCCAACAUCAUUGCAAAAUGAGGCUAAAGCCCCAGGCAGGGUGUAGCCUAAAUUUACAGACUAUCAAUAUCACAUUUUUCAUUUACAUCAAAGGCUUAGUUACCCAGAAGUCCUCUAAAACUCUCUUAUGGUUAUGCUGCUCUUUCCCUCACAAAUCUGCAGUGGUUUCCAUUGUUUGAAUGGAGAUGGUGACUAUUUCCUUCCCUGAACUGGAAUAGAACUAAAUUUCUGAAUCAAGUACUAGGCAUUUAGUAAAUAUUGAAACUAAUGUUUUAAUGACAAUAUGUAAAUACUGAAACUAAUGUUUUUAAUUACAGUGAAAUCUAUAUAUUCUACUUCUCCAGUUACAUUAUAGACUCAUUGAAGCUAGGUGUGCUACUCUUUAUAGGCAUCUAGAAGUAGUUGGAAAGAUGAAAACUCUUAGUGAUUUUUGGCUACUAUUAAAGGCAUUUGGCAAGAGAUUACAGGGAAAAGAAAAGAUCACAGGAAAAAAAUGGCCAUUUUGUAAACAGACCAAAAGGGAUUGGAGAAAGCCUAGAACACUUAAACACUGAAGAAUGAGAAAAUCUUACUGCUCCUGGAUGCAGGAAAUAAAAGGAAAAAAACAUCUUUGAGAGAUACGAACUCCUUGCAUCCAUUUUGUGAUGAAGAUCAAGUUGAGGUUAUGGUCUUCUAAGUCUGUAGCUUCCAAGUAGCUGACCAGUAAGUAGAGAGAGAGGUGCAGUGGGGUUGAAGGAGGCACUAAGAUAUAGCAGAUUUGAGACGUCUAUCUAGAAAAACACUCUGUGUGUGAAUAUUGGCACAGGGAGCUAACUGAUAGAAAAGGAUCAGAAGCUUAUUAAGAUUUCGUAGCAUAGGUAUUGCUUAGAACACCAAAAGCUGGGACUACAUUUUUUUUUCUUCAAAGUUGAAUAUACUUGAGUUCCCACUCUUCCAUAGAUAGUAACAUGUUCCCAAAAUAACCUGUACCACCCUCAUGAGGGCAUAUCCCCUAAUGUCCACUUCAGAGGCAGCUGUGGGGGACAAUGAACACAGACCCCUUUCCUACUGAAGUCAGAACCCAGAGCUAUAGAAAUAAAUGGAAAGUGGUAUCUAAUUAGAAAACUUCCUAGAGUUCCCACUGUGGCUCCGCGGUUAAUGAACCCGACUAGUAUCCAUGAGGAUGCAGGUUUGAUCCUGGCCUCACUCAGUGGGUUAAGGAUCCCGCGUUGCUGUGAGCUGCGAUAUAGUUCACAAACGUGGCUCGGAUCUGUGCUGCUGUGGCUGUGGCGUAGGCCAGCGCCUGCAGCUCCGUUUUGACCCCUAGCCGGGGA